This 22-nucleotide non-coding RNA is filed under the name Arabidopsis thaliana (thale cress). Lineage: Eukaryota; Viridiplantae; Streptophyta; Magnoliopsida; Brassicales; Brassicaceae. The record is from RNAcentral.
UUGGUUUGAUGAGUAAAUGAGU